RNAcentral lists this long non-coding RNA (1398 nucleotides) under Physcomitrium patens. RNAcentral describes it as "long non-coding RNA (PPAT_LNC011901)". The record is from RNAcentral. Lineage: Eukaryota; Viridiplantae; Streptophyta; Bryopsida; Funariales; Funariaceae.
CAUCCAAAAUGUGAACCCUAUUUUAUUUCAUAAAGCCCAAGUCAUCCGAAACAAACCUUAACUUUGCAAAGCUCUUACAAAGUCAUAUCAACUCCAAAUCACCCAAAAUCAAUGCCCAUAGAAACCCUAUCCAAUCUUCUCUCAAACCCCACUCUCCGAUCUGCCAAAAAGUCCUGGAGUCAUUGUAGAGACUCGGUUUUGUCUCCUAGGGUCUGAUUUCAACCUUGAUUCAUAACCGCCCUCUCCGGGUAUCAAUACCUAGUUUUUCUAAGUAACUUUUUUCUAGAAUUACUCUUAACUUCCUUCUAAAGAUGCCUAUGUCAUUUAUUUUUCCAAUCUACUUUGAUUUGCCUUACUUAUGGUGCUACAAAGUAAGUAGAAGUCACCUUUCUAAAAGGCAGCAUUGGUAUAUUUUAAUUUUUCUACCCCUUUGACUAUUAACUAUAUUUUUAAGAUAAUUUGUUAUAAUAUUUUGAACUAAGAUCUCCUAAAUUAUAAUAAUCUCCACACUCUUUCACCUAUUAAUCGUGUUACAUCAUGACAACAUAAAAUUGAAUUUAAAGCAUUCCUAAACGUCCCUAUUUUCAGCUAUACUUGGAUGAGCCGUAGAGUUGACUAGGGCCUAAGUGGUCCAUGUUCCAUUCUAGCCAACCGUGAUCUUUAAUAGUCUGAUUCUAUGCAGAGUAUUUUAUAGAACUUUCUCGUGGGAUCGGGGUUUUGAUAUUGUUAUCACGAAAGCAAUUAAGUCUCAAUUUCAAUUGCCCUACAUCAAGCACACUUUUGCAUCAGAUUUCUGCCCUUGGGUUGUGGACCGCAGGUUCGAAGGAGGCUGUCUUGGAGCGAAGUCGGCAUACAUGCAUCGAUUAAGAAUUAUAACAUGAAAAUAAAUGCCUUCUUUUUCAACUUGUCCGCUGCUCAUCAAGUUUGUAACUAAGCCACUACAGAGUUGCCAUUCUGUUCUUGGAUGUUACUUGCAGUUUCCAAUCCUCGCACUAGUUUGUAAAAUAGAAUUGAGAGGAGGGAGCGUAGUGACUUACCUUGGAAGAUUUAGAGCUGCAGAUGGACGGAACUCAGGAACUCAGAUGUUUCGUGCAUGCUGGCUGCGGCAACAUUGACGAUUUUACUAUGCUAGGAGGAUAUUAUAAACAUCACCGUCGAGUGAUUCCUGUUCCGUUCUUUCCCUUGCUCUGCUCCUCUAAUCCUUGCUCACCAGCACCGGACAUGUCAUUGCUGACAACACAAUCAGUCACAUUCAGAAAACUCAGCGCCGUAGUGUACUUGCAUAAUACUACAGCGGGAGAGAACCUUUGGGAAUGUAUCGUCCUGAGCUUGAAGUCUCUCGCGACGUGUGCAGACAUGGAAACUGCGGUCAACAUUUAUCACCCACAAACUCUUUCC